RNAcentral lists this long non-coding RNA (517 nucleotides) under Daucus carota (carrot). RNAcentral's name for it is "long non-coding RNA (DCAR_LNC005595)". Lineage: Eukaryota; Viridiplantae; Streptophyta; Magnoliopsida; Apiales; Apiaceae. The record is from RNAcentral.
CGAAUUUCUAUUUUUUUUUGGACCGAACCGGACCGAAAUAACCAUAUGGACCGAACCGGAACCGAACCGCAAUAAUUCGGUUCGGUUCGGUUUUUCUCUACAGAACCGAUUUUUCGCCCAAAUAUAUAAAAAAGCUAAUAAAAUGGAUACAAACACAACAUAAUUGUUAAUCAGUUCCGAUCUGCAAAGUUUCAGGCUACAGUAGGCAGUAGCUAUCAAAUUUAUUACAAAGCUCCGAUUCUUCAAACUUAAACAUUGAGGAGAUCUAGCAACGAACCUCGGAUAAGUUUGAAUCUUCGAUUCUUGAAACUUGAUGACUGAAAUCUUCGAUUCUCUACUUGUGAUUAGCGGUAGUCGGAUAAGUUAAAUGAACCUCAGUAGGUUGGAUCUUUGAUAACUGAUUAGGGCGGCUGAUUUUGAGCUGAGGCUGCUGAUUAGGCUAUGUCGCUAGGGGUGAGUUUGUGAUUAGGGUCAGUGUACAGUGGGUUUGGUGUGUGGCUACAGAGUACAUACUCAG